Molecule: ribosomal RNA, 253 nt
Filed under: uncultured bacterium
Lineage: Bacteria
Description: partial 16S ribosomal RNA
Rfam family: Bacterial small subunit ribosomal RNA
Source: RNAcentral
UACGGAGGGUGCAAGCGUUAUUCGGAAUCACUGGGCGUAAAGGGUGCGUAGGCGGUUUGGAAAGUCAGAUGUGAAAGCCUACAGCUUAACUGUAGAACUGCAUUUGAAACUUCCAGACUAGAAUACUGAAGGGGCAGAUGGAAUUAGUGGUGUAGGGGUAAAAUCCGUAGAUAUCACUAGGAAUACCGAAAGCGAAAGCGAUCUGCUGGGAAGUUAUUGACGCUGAGGCACGAAAGCGUGGGGAGCAAACGGG